This is a long non-coding RNA of Mastomys coucha (southern multimammate mouse), 698 nucleotides long. RefSeq lists it as uncharacterized. The transcript has 4 exons. The record is from RefSeq and is a predicted model, not a curated record. NCBI's taxonomy places the organism in Eukaryota, Metazoa, Chordata, Mammalia, Rodentia, Muridae.
AUGUGAGGGCUGGAAAGAAGGCUUGCCAGUGGACAACAGCUGAACCCUGAGAGACAGUGACUGGUUGGCUCAGAGAACAGUCCUGCACGACAGUCAGAAACCAAGGUUUGACUCUCAGAAUUUGAAGUUGGGCAAAUGGAUCUUAUCAGGAACCCCACAUCUUGAGGCGACAUACAAAAGAUUUUUCGGUGAGAGAGAGUAACAGAGCAGAGCCUCAGUGACAGAAGAGGACGAAGGAGAGAGUGACAGGACUGAGCCUCGGUGACAGAAGAGGACGGAGGAGAAGAAAGUUUGGUUUGCUCAUGGAGACUUAAGACCUGCUCGGGGAGACUGGGAACCUCAGCCCGGUGCAGUUCCGAUGGACCGUGGCCACAUUGCCCCACUACUAUCAAUCACACUGAGACGUGAUCCACAGCAUCCAACAAGCCACUACUCGUGGGAUGGGGGUUAGGCAAAAGGAACAGCUAAGACAGCAGAGCAGCCCAGUACUCUGAACCCCUAGUUAAGCCUCUCCGGUGGAUUCCUUUGGUAAAGUUUUCCUUUGUGGGUUUCUUUCAGCACUUGACCCAUAGCCCAUGGAAUGUGUCAGCUCUAAUUGCCUGUGUGGAUUGGCACAAGUCGUGCCUCCAAAUUGGAAUGUUGUCACAUAUAACAUAGCCUUUUGGAGGGAUAAAUGUGGAAAAUGUUUUACCCGUGAA